RNAcentral lists this long non-coding RNA (2032 nucleotides) under Oreochromis niloticus (Nile tilapia). RNAcentral describes it as "lncRNA (ENSONIG00000035203.1)". The record is from RNAcentral. Lineage: Eukaryota; Metazoa; Chordata; Actinopteri; Cichliformes; Cichlidae.
GUUUUACUUCUAGUUGAUUGUGGUUAGAUUUUAUUGUCAUUGCAGAGUUUAUUAUUGGGCAUUCCUGCUUGGGUUCAUUGUGACUCUUUAGUCAUUUCUGUUUACUUCUUGUUAUUUUAUAAUCCAGAUAAUGUUAGUGUUAAGAGUUAUUUAAAGGUAUAUCCUUGUCUUUUUAUGUAUUUAAGACCAGCCUCCUCUAGUGUUUCCUCGUAUGCCAUUGUCAUAUCUAUUUAGUGGUUUGUUUACUUUCUGUUUUAUCUGAAAGUCCCUUGUGUGUGCUUACAUAGUCCUGCCCUGCCUGUCAGUCAUUGUUUCAGUAUCUGUUUGUGUGCUCUUGUGUUCUCCUCGUGAUCCUUUUUGGAAGUUUUCUUAUUUUUUAUUCUCAUUUCUACUAUUCGCUGCCCGGUGUUGUCGAUUACUCCUCGACCUUAAUAAAAGGAGAUAUCAAUUCUUCUAGUUGCACUUACAGCCCCGAUGGGAAAGAGGGAGCGUGAAGACACCCAGAUGUCCAAGAAGAUGCCAACUUCCCCAUUUGACUACAGCAGUUCAGAUGAUGCUUCCAAUCAGGUUCCAUCAAAUAGCCAGGACUAUUUCAACAACAGACCUUCAGAGACAACAAGUAACCCUUACAGGCUGUACCCCAACAGACCUCAACAGACAACAAGUAACCCUUACAGGCUGUACCCCAACAGACCUCAACAGACAACAAGUAACCCUUACAGGCUGUACCCCAACAGACCUCCACAGACAACAAGUAACGAGUACAGCCAGUUCAACAAUCAGCAGGUCCAGAGCAGCAGUGCCUCCACAGAUGAUCCGAAUCAUGUCCGGCUCAUAAACCACCUUCAGUUCAACAGCAGACCCCAACAAACAACAAGUAAACCAGUGGUUGGAGAGAGGUGGAAAACUGGAAGAAUCUGGAACUGGUUCUACAAAUAUUCACACAAAAGAUCAAACUCUGUAGUAGAUUUUUGUACUUGGGGAUUUCCUUGUUCGGCCAAGAAGAAGACUGCCAUGUUUGUGGUCUGCAACGGGAUUACAUUCAAGACAUCACUCAUGAUUUUGUCUAUUCUUUUUGGACAUGAAUGGACCUCCCUUACUAAAUGCACAUGAUGCACUUUGAGUAAUAUGAUAUAGGGGCUUCUCUGUGUUAUUUAUCUAUGACCUGAGUAAUGCAGUAAUAUUCCCUGAUCAGUUUAAAGUACAAUAAAAUGGUCUCACGUUUAAGCUCUCUGUUUGAUUUGGUUUUACUUUGCACAUGAUACAAAACACACAGAAAGUAAAUGAACACAAAACAAACGUGUGCCGAAUCAACUAAAUGACACAAUCUGAAAGAAAAAAAAGAUAAAAAACCUAUAAAGCAAAAUUAAACACUGACCAGUUUUAACGCUUUUUAUUUUCUGUACAUACAACAUUUUACAAAAGCACGAAAUCCAGAUUUUUAAUCACGACAUAAAAACAUAAAGAGGAUAAAAAAUGACAUGCAUCAUCUGUACGUUGCUGUAUUUGACACUCUUCUCCAUGCAGUUAAUUAAAACGUUAAAAUAAAUACACUAUUUUCUAUUUUAUCAGCAUUAACAAAAUGAAUCAAUUAACAGUAAAUUUGCACAAUGGAGUUGAGCAGUCAAUUAAUGUUUGACUUUCUGUCACACUUCAUCGAGGUAAUGGCCAUUGAUUGGUGGAGAAACAUCAGCGCUGCCAUGAAUUAUAAAAACAAUCUAAUACAUAACAGAAGAACAGAACAGGGAUGUAAAAUGCAUAAGAAUUUACUUUUCUCUUUGCUUUUUCUGAGUAAUAAAAAUAUAUCUCUACCAUUUACUGUUUAGGAAGCAUCUAAAUAAGAAGAGAAGCAGUUACCAAGAUAACAGGAUUUGAUCUUUAUCUAAUGCAGAUCACGUGACUUUUUUAAGACUACAGAGGAAAAUUAAAGAGAAGCGAGUCUAGUAUCGUUUAGUGCUUUUUAAAGCAUGUUUCAGUUUCUUAUGUAAAUAUGUAGUUUCAUUGAUUGAUCACAUCCUCUGUUUAUCAGCAG